Molecule: long non-coding RNA, 421 nt
Filed under: Nicotiana tabacum (common tobacco)
Lineage: Eukaryota; Viridiplantae; Streptophyta; Magnoliopsida; Solanales; Solanaceae
Description: long non-coding RNA (NTAB_LNC002018)
Source: RNAcentral
AAUUCCGAAAUGACACUAUUCAAAUGAAUAAUUGAUAGGAACCUCGAUCUGGUAACGGAUUGAACCUCACCAAAAAAUCUAAUAAUUGGCGAGGCCCGGAAUAUGAACUUGACUUAGAUUCGGAUUCCGACGACCAUUGCUCUCAUUGUGAAAGAGAUAGUGAGGUGAAGAACGACCAGUUUCUGACGAGCUUUGGUAUGGCUGGUGGCAGUGAUGGGGUCAGCAGCUGCGACUGCUUUGAUGGUGAAGAGGGGGAGUGGCAUUAGGGUAUGAUGAAGGUUACAGCUGUGCUUUUGUCUUAGGGUUGGGGUCUUCAAAUUACAUGUGUGUUGGAAUGGAGAUGAAGAAGAGGGGUUGUUUUUUGUCUUUGGUUUUGUGAGGGUGUGAAGAAGAAGAAUUUCGGGAGGAUGGAUGGGGGUCU